This is a long non-coding RNA of Oncorhynchus tshawytscha (Chinook salmon), 3029 nucleotides long. The record is from Ensembl. NCBI's taxonomy places the organism in Eukaryota, Metazoa, Chordata, Actinopteri, Salmoniformes, Salmonidae.
GAAGAAGGGACCCUUCAAGUUGCAGGCUCGUGUGUUAGAGUACAGGGUUGUUGAAGAUGGGGUGGAAGAGGCCUUCCUAUAACAGUAUAGUACAUAUUAGUGAUCAAGUACAAUAGAGUCGGUGGAUGCUUCUCAUGUAAUACUUGAAAAUGGAAAAUAUUAUGACCAAUGUUUUCAUUGCUGGGCUCCCAGCGUGUGCCAUAUAUUUUCUUUACACCAACAUUUAUUGCUCUUAUAAACUACUGAAAGCUAAUGUGGUGUUUGACAGUUGUCAGAGCAUUCCAAGUUUUGCCUACCUUUUUCUCAGAUAUGUAUUCAGAGCUCUUAUCAAAAGACAGGGGCAUUUGUACUUUUGCGAUAGAGAUGUCGAAGGUGAAGUUUCCUUCACCAUCUUUAACUGCAGGUUCAACAAGGAUCUACUGAGGAGGUUCUGUAGUGCAGCUGGAUAUGGCUGGGACUACCCAGACAUUGAGUUCAGGGAUAUCCCUCUGUGUUACCCAGACACCCUCUGUCUGCGGAUGCUUGACAUAUUAAUAUCUGCUGAGAAGUUCAGAUUGAGCCCUCUGGGUCUAGUCCGGGUACGUCAGAGUUUGAGAACAUGGCAGCCAAUAGAUGAGCUGAAGAAGGGACCCUUCAAGUUGCAGGCUCGUGUGUUAGAGUACAGGGUUGUUGAAGAUGGGGUGGAGGUUGACAUUUCUUUAACUGCCAUUUCACACACUGACCAGCCAGUAUGGGAGAGUGUUUUGACAAUGCUCUCCCAGGACAGAGGCCGAACACCAAACACACAACCUAAAACUGAGUGGUAUGAUGGUCACAUGGACACAUCAGAGCCAGAUGACGUGAAGGCGGUAGAUAUCAAUGUUCCCUGGACUACAGGACUGAAGUUUGUGUGGGCUUUCUCUGACUACUCUCCACGUUGUCUCCUAACUCUUCCUGCUAAACUCUUGGGCUGCAGAUGUACCCCAACUCCUAGUCUAUGGAUGCUGUCUAAAUGUUUGGCUGAAAUUGAAAAGCACAAAGGAGUUGAUGCCAUUAGAGCCCCCAUCUCUGUCACCGCCCAGUUCAAGGAACCAUUGUUGGUACCAGGAAAAGUGACCAUCAAAUUUUGUGAGAGUGCGGGAGUGCAGUCCAAAUGUGUUAGCUUCCAAAUGGAGCAAUACGAGAGGAAGAUACCUCACAUUACGGGACAGAUCUGCAGGACUACUGUAGAGGAUGUGAAUUAAAGAUGAAAACGGCGCCAAUGGCCACCCCAGCACCGUUAUUGUUUUUGUUGCAGAGAUGAGGAGCAUCACGUAGCAUGGUAAAAAAAAAAAAUGCAGUACUCUUCUAUGAUGUGUUAAAUGAUGUCAGAGUUGAAAAAACUGUUUGUUGUUUGCAGUAACUUCUUUGUUGUAAUAUCGCAAAUGGUGUGGCUGCUUCACCAAUAAGGAUUCCAGCUUUAAGAUGAUCAGUUAUGACAUGACAUUCUAUAAAUAUCAGGUAGAUGAAAGUCAUAAUAAUAAGGGAUGAUUGUGUAAUUAUUAGUGGAAUGACAUCUCAUCUUUGCCAUUAUGUGGCAUCCUAGUCAGUGCGGCAUAGGCUUCAUGGCCCAGCAGGUGAUUUACACAAAUGUAUCUUCAAUCCAAAGUACCCCAAUACUGCUACCCUCUAGAGUAGAUAUUUACAUCAAACAAGAACUGCAGUCUUAAGGCAUUUUCUGUGUCCUCUACAACUCUAAUGUUACUAUGUCCACAGAAGCACCAUAAGCUACAGUUGAUGCAGACAAGGUCCCUACAGGGAAUGGAGACUUGAAUAUUUGAUCUGUUUGAUAUUCUUGUUCCCUGCCUUCAUGUUUAUGAAGGUCUUUUCUCUUGUAUUACUCAUUGUAAAAUGGAGGUGUAGGCAGGAAAUAUGUAGAGGAACAUAAACAGUAUUGUUCACUGAAAUGCUUUGUAGAGAUCCAUGAAUUAAACUAUACCUUAAGUUUAAUGUCAGUAUUUACAUAUUUCUGCUAAACUUCAAAGAGUGGUGAUUAGAUUCUGCCUAGGAGUAAAGUGUUAAAUAAAUAUUACUAAAAUGAAUUGUAGUUUCAGUUCAUGUGGUGAAAAAAUGAUCUUUAUUGUGAGUGGAUUAGGUGAAGUAAUAUUAUGAUAUUGUUUGCAUGCCCAUAGAGAUGUAUGUAAUUCUGCAGUUGUAGAGUUGGAAAUUCAAUUUUAUGUAACCUUAAAUCAUGUGAUCAGAAGCCCGGAUCUCUCCGGCCUUACUGUAUACGGUGGUUGUGUAAUCAAAAGAGCAUCCCGUGAUUGCCUCUCAUUGCACAGAGAGUAUAUGUGUUUUUCCAGUGUUUGAGGGAAGGAGAGGGGAUGAGGUUGUGAAGAAAAGCAUCCGUUAGUAGAUCUUCAUACCACCGAAUAACUGAACAGCACCUGACACUAUUUAGUCUGACUGCCCACUGAUGAAAUCCUGCCAAUACAUCCCACGUGACGUGAUUUACAUUACUGUAACCCCCUAACAUUUUGAAGAAGGAAGACUGCACAACAGAGGACUACACAACUUUUGUUUAAAAAAAAAAAUGUUUUAUUAAGUUUGCCUGCAGCUCUUGCACAUGCUGGAAACAUUGCUCUGUGAUUGUUGUUGAAUAUGACCGAGGAUCAGGAAAUCAAACAUAACUUUAUGGGAGUGAACCUAAAGGCAUGUUUCGUCUUACAUCUUAGUAUGCUGUGUAGCAAAGCUUUGAAUGAAUCAUACUUAUAUUUUUUUGUUGCAAUGAUAUCACGCCUAAUUUUCUUGUUCCUCACUCAGUGACCACAAAGCAGCAUUUACACCUCUCAUCCAUCAUUGUGCAGAGACAGAUGAAUGGAUUCUUGAACUAUUCAAGGACAUAUGAACAUGACUAUCCAGUAUUUUAAAGGUACAGUCUAUUCAGACCCCUUGACUUUUUCCACAUUUUGUAACUUUACAGCAUUAUUCUAAAAUUGAUUAAAUUGUUUUUUUCCCCUCAUCAGAGCAAAAACCAUUUUAGAAAUGUUUGCAAAUGUAUACAAAAAUUA